ACUUAAAUAGCUUAAAUUAGAGCAUAAUAUUGAAGAUAUUAAGGUAAUCAAAGAUUUUUAAGUA
RNAcentral lists this transfer RNA (64 nucleotides) under Brachinus crepitans. RNAcentral describes it as "tRNA-Phe". Lineage: Eukaryota; Metazoa; Arthropoda; Insecta; Coleoptera; Carabidae. The record is from RNAcentral.